UGCUUCGGUAAUUGACCUAGCGGCGGACGGGUGAGUAAUACUUAGGAAUCUGCCUAUUAAUGGGGGACAACAUCUCGAAAGGGAUGCUAAUACCGCAUACGCCCUACGGGGGAAAGCAGGGGAUCACUUGUGACCUUGCGUUAAUAGAUGAGCCUAAGUCGGAUUAGCUAGUUGGUGGGGUAAAGGCCUACCAAGGCGACGAUCUGUAGCGGGUCUGAGAGGAUGAUCCGCCACACUGGGACUGAGACACGGCCCAGACUCCUACGGGAGGCAGCAGUGGGGAAUAUUGGACAAUGGGGGGAACCCUGAUCCAGCCAUGCCGCGUGUGUGAAGAAGGCCUUAUGGUUGUAAAGCACUUUAAGCGAGGAGGAGGCUCUCUUGGUUAAUACCCAAGAUGAGUGGACGUUACUCGCAGAAUAAGCACCGGCUAACUCUGUGCCAGCAGCCGCGGUAAUACAGAGGGUGCGAGCGUUAAUCGGAUUUACUGGGCGUAAAGCGUGCGUAGGCGGCUUUUUAAGUCGGAUGUGAAAUCCCCGAGCUUAACUUGGGAAUUGCAUUCGAUACUGGGAAGCUAGAGUAUGGGAGAGGAUGGUAGAAUUCCAGGUGUAGCGGUGAAAUGCGUAGAGAUCUGGAGGAAUACCGAUGGCGAAGGCAGCCAUCUGGCCUAAUACUGACGCUGAGGUACGAAAGCAUGGGGAGCAGACAGGAUUAGAUACCCUGGUAGUCCAUGCCGUAAACGAUGUCUACUAGCCGUUGGGGCCUUUGAGGCUUUAGUGGCGCAGCUAACGCGAUAAGUACACCGCCUGGGGAGUACGGUCGCAAGACUAAAACUCAAAUGAAUUGACGGGGGCCCGCACAAGCGGUGGAGCAUGUGGUUUAAUUCGAUGCAACGCGAAGAACCUUACCUGGUCUUGACAUAGUAAGAACUUUCCAGAGAUGGAUUGGUGCCUUCGGGAACUUACAUACAGGUGCUGCAUGGCUGUCGUCAGCUC
This 992-nucleotide ribosomal RNA is filed under the name Acinetobacter guillouiae. RNAcentral describes it as "bacterial SSU rRNA". It matches the Rfam family "Bacterial small subunit ribosomal RNA", at positions 76 to 1061 of the family's 1533-position model. Lineage: Bacteria; Pseudomonadati; Pseudomonadota; Gammaproteobacteria; Moraxellales; Moraxellaceae. The record is from RNAcentral.